AGGACAUGGAGGUUGAUGCUUGGGAACUUCGGGACAUUCUAAAUUCAUCCCUUCGUCAAGCUACCUUCGAAUCAAAGAGCCGCGGUGACAAGGCCAGAUUCAAUUUGGAAGAACUGCUGAUGGUAUACUUCUACUCUUAAUUUUCCCGGUGCCAUCGUGGUUCAUGAGAAGCAGUCGGUCAAGUUUUAACAAUUCAGUGUUUACAACCACAAAAUCAUCUUUCAUUUACAAUUUUAUUAUGCAUUUGAUAUGCCUACAGUGAUGUUAAAUAUCACAUGAAUAUAAGAAAUAUUGAGUAGUAUAGCUGAUCAUAAUUUAAUUAGGUCUGUUAAAUAGAGGUUUUGCCGACAUGCCAACAGGUUUUAGUAGUUUGUAUAAUGGAUAUAAGCACUUUUGGGCAAUUUUCGAGACACUUUUGGAGACUUGGAAAAGUCAGUCUCUAUAAUGUGGCCCCUGCCGGAGAAUCAUGCGCCCUUGGUUCGUUGGUAGUAGAUCUACAAACAAAUUAAUCAGUGAGCAUAUUUCAGUUCAUAUUGUUGUAAAUUGGUGAUGAUAAUAAUACUCAAAGUUUUAAACUAAUAUAGGUCUUUGUGGCCAAUUUUGCA
Long non-coding RNA from Strongylocentrotus purpuratus (purple sea urchin), 605 nucleotides. RefSeq lists it as uncharacterized. The record is from RefSeq and is a predicted model, not a curated record. NCBI's taxonomy places the organism in Eukaryota, Metazoa, Echinodermata, Echinoidea, Camarodonta, Strongylocentrotidae. The transcript has 3 exons.